RNAcentral lists this ribosomal RNA (253 nucleotides) under uncultured bacterium. RNAcentral describes it as "partial 16S ribosomal RNA". It matches the Rfam family "Bacterial small subunit ribosomal RNA", at positions 524 to 776 of the family's 1533-position model. The record is from RNAcentral.
UACGAAGGGGGCUAGCGUUGUUCGGAAUUACUGGGCGUAAAGGGCGCGUAGGCGGUCACGCACGUCCGUUGUGAAAUCGCUCGGCUCAACUGGGCGGGGUCAGCGGAUACGGCGUGGCUGGAGCAAGCUAGGGGGCAAUGGAAUUCCCGGUGUAGUGGUGGAAUGCGUAGAUAUCGGGAGGAACACCAGUGGCGAAGGCGGUUGCCUGGAGCUUUGCUGACGCUGAUGCGCGAAAGCGUGGGGAGCGAUCCGG